AGUGAACGCUGGCGGUAGGCCUAACACAUGCAAGUCGAACGGCAGCACAGUAAGAGCUUGCUCUUACGGGUGGCGAGUGGCGGACGGGUGAGGAAUACAUCGGAAUCUACUUUUUCGUGGGGGAUAACGUAGGGAAACUUACGCUAGUACCGCAUACGACCUACGGGUGAAAGCAGUGGAUCUUCGGACCUUGCGCGAUUGAAUGAGCCGAUGUCGGAUUAGCUAGUUGGCGGGGUAAAGGCCCACCAAGGCGACGAUCCGUAGCUGGUCUGAGAGGAUGAUCGGCCACACUGGAACUGGGACACGGUCCAGACUCCUACGGGAGGCAGCAGUGGGGAAUAUUGGACAAUGGGCGCAAGCCUGAUCCAGCCAUACCGCGUGGGUGAAGAAGGCCUUCGGGUUGUAAAGCCCUUUUGUUGGGAAAGAAAAGCAGCAGGUUAAUACCCCGCUGUUCUGACGGUACCCAAAGAAUAAGCACCGGCUAACUUCGUG
This 492-nucleotide ribosomal RNA is filed under the name uncultured bacterium. Its description in RNAcentral is "partial 16S ribosomal RNA". It matches the Rfam family "Bacterial small subunit ribosomal RNA", at positions 29 to 507 of the family's 1533-position model. The record is from RNAcentral.